This 226-nucleotide long non-coding RNA is filed under the name Lathyrus oleraceus (garden pea). RNAcentral's name for it is "Pisum sativum (pea) long non-coding RNA (PSAT_LNC031768)". Lineage: Eukaryota; Viridiplantae; Streptophyta; Magnoliopsida; Fabales; Fabaceae. The record is from RNAcentral.
GAUCUUGUUGCUAGAAGAUACGUCAAGCUUCCUACCAUUUACUUGAAAAUUAAGGCAUAAUAAGUUUUACCUCUUUCAUCUUUAACCAAUUUUCAAACUUGAACAAUAGGAAUGCAUACUUUAUUGCACUCUUCCAUCAUUAUCUUGCUUUACCUCAAUUCCCAAUAAGUAUCUCAUCGUUCCUAAGUCAGUCAUUGCAAUUUCUCCCUUUAUUGACUACUUGAAC